GUUGCUCUGUUUGCAAAAUUGAGCUACUUUGUGUCCCGCGCGACGUUGUCGCUGUGUGUCUAUUUGAACGGUCAAAGCUCUUUCACCGUUCAAUUAGACAUAACGCGAAUAUGUCGCGCACGAAGACAUCUCGCGCGACCAAAAUUAGCUCAAUGUUGCUAACAGUUAUUUGUCUCACGCGAAAUUUUUGUUUAAUCGAGCGUUCCAAGAAAUAUUAUUAAAAAGUAAAAGAAACUUUUUUGACCUCAUUUUAGCGAUUAAAAUGGAUUUUUUCAACAUCAUUAUGUCGACGCCGGUCAGCUGUUGCUUGUCAUAAACAACAUAAAUAAGAUUGCAGAAGCUGAAACUAACGCUUCAAGUUUUCUUUAUCCUACCACGUUCCAUCGUUAAUAGAAUACGACUUCCUUGUUGACCUGUUCAAUGUUGAGAUUGAAAUUGCAGUCACAGUUUCUGGGGACGAGGGUUUAUGCCGUCUAGCAGCAGCAUUGUUAAAAAGGGUUAGAAAUUAUGCAGUCCUGAACGCGACCCUACUGCGAUGUGUGGGAAGCGGCGAGGCUCCAUGCCGAUUCCCCAAAUAGCCAGAAUUGAUUAAGCAGCUCAUUUUGGCACGCUAAAGAUCGCUGCUCUAAUUCGCCUUUUGCAGUAGAUAAACAGCUUCAAAGUUCCAGGCGGUCCUUCUAAAUAGCGCCUAAGCAGCUUCCAUAAGCUACGGUGCCGGGGAUUAUUUUUCUUUGUGUUUUAUUUUCAAGCAAGCGUCAUCGAUGAAAUAAACAACAGGAUUUGUUUUGUUUGUGUA
Anopheles gambiae (African malaria mosquito) is the source of this 796-nucleotide long non-coding RNA. RefSeq lists it as uncharacterized. The transcript has 2 exons. Lineage: Eukaryota; Metazoa; Arthropoda; Insecta; Diptera; Culicidae. The record is from RefSeq and is a predicted model, not a curated record.